RNAcentral lists this ribosomal RNA (253 nucleotides) under uncultured bacterium. RNAcentral's name for it is "partial 16S ribosomal RNA". It matches the Rfam family "Bacterial small subunit ribosomal RNA", at positions 524 to 776 of the family's 1533-position model. The record is from RNAcentral.
UACGGGGGGGGCAAGCGUUGUUCGGAAUUACUGGGCGUAAAGGGUUAGUAGGUGGCCAACUAAGUCAGACGUGAAAUCCCUCAGCUUAACUGGGGAACUGCGUCUGAGACUGAUUGGCUCGAGGACAGGAGAGGAACGCGGAAUUCCAGGUGUAGCGGUGGAAUGCGUAGAGAUCCGGAAGAACACCGGUGGCGAAGGCGGCCUGCUGGGCAGUAGCUGACACUGAGGCGCGACAGCGUGGGGAGCAAACAGG